UCCCUAAAUAGGGACUAGUAUGAACGGCUAAAUGAGGACCUUACUGUCUCUUGCUGCCAGUCAAUGAAACUGAUCUCCCAGUCCAAAAGCUGGAAUAACUCCAUAAGACAAAAAGACCCUGUGGAGCUUUAAAACCAAAACCACCUACAAUUGUCCACUUGGUUUUUAGUUGGGGCGACUUCGGAGCAAAGACAAACCUCCGAAACAAUGGACCUCACCAUAUCAAGGCCAACACGCCAAAAUAACCAAAACUUGACCCAGACCUUAAUUUCUGACCAAUGAACCAAGUUACCCCAGGGAUAACAGCGCCAUCUUCUUUUAGAGUCCCUAUCGACAAGAAGGUUUACGACCUCGAUGUUGGAUCAGGACACCCCAAUAGUGCAGCCGCUAUUAAAGGUUCG
This 401-nucleotide ribosomal RNA is filed under the name Gallotia galloti galloti. RNAcentral describes it as "partial 16S ribosomal RNA". It matches the Rfam family "Bacterial large subunit ribosomal RNA", at positions 1972 to 2575 of the family's 2925-position model. The record is from RNAcentral. RNAcentral also lists the same sequence under 1 other name. Lineage: Eukaryota; Metazoa; Chordata; Lepidosauria; Squamata; Lacertidae.